Molecule: long non-coding RNA, 766 nt
Organism: Drosophila albomicans
Lineage: Eukaryota; Metazoa; Arthropoda; Insecta; Diptera; Drosophilidae
Exons: 2
Source: RefSeq, a predicted model, not a curated record
UAAGUCAUAUAUAAAUAAUAUAUGAAAAUAAUCAUAUAGAAGGCAAUAUGAUUAAAAAAGUUAAAAAUAAUGAAGUUUUACUGUUGCAUUAUUAAAUUAGUGCAACAUAAAGAUACAUUAGGUGGUAUACCUUAGUAAAAUGAGCUGGUUGUAGAAAACGUGUCACAAAACCUAUAUAGGGGUGGUGAUGUCGAGCAGGCAUGUCAUAUGAGAAAAAUUUCACAAGUGAAAUAUAUAUGACUAUGUAUAUGGAGUGAGUCUUGCCGGCAUAAGUCAUAUAUAAAUAAUAUAUGAAAAUAAUCAUAUAGAAGGCAAUAUGAUUAAAAAAGUUAAAAAUAAUGAAGUUUUACUGUUGUAUUAUUAAAUUAGUGCAACAAAAAGAUACGUUAGAUGGUAAUACUAAAUAAAAUAAGAGCAUUGUAGAAAACGUGUCACAAAACCUAUACAUGGUGGCAGUGUGUGCUCAUCACGUAUAUAUGUAUUGGAUGCAUAUAUUUCAGUUUGCAUAUUAAGUAAUAAUUAUGUUAUUAUUAAUUAAUUAUUAGUCUCAUCCGAUAUAAAAAUUGAUACUAUUAUAUGGUUAUAUAAUUAUUACUAUUAUAUAAGCAUAUAAUGUAUUAAAUGUCUUUUUUCAAAAGAAGACGGUGUUUCGUAGCUAAAGAAUUAAUAUUUUGUGAAUAAUUGAAAAAUCCUCUAGGACACUAUUGUGGACGGAGGUUUUUACUAAUAUAAUAUUGUCUACACGUAAAUGCAGAAUUAGAUAAAA